This 253-nucleotide ribosomal RNA is filed under the name uncultured bacterium. RNAcentral's name for it is "partial 16S ribosomal RNA". It matches the Rfam family "Bacterial small subunit ribosomal RNA", at positions 524 to 776 of the family's 1533-position model. The record is from RNAcentral.
UACAGAGGUCCCAAGCGUUGUUCGGAUUCACUGGGCGUAAAGGGUGCGUAGGUGGUGAGGUAAGUCGGAUGUGAAAUCUCCGAGCUCAACUCGGAAAUGGCAUUGGAAACUACCUUGCUCGAGGGUUGGAGGGGGGACUGGAAUACUUGGUGUAGCAGUGAAAUGCGUAGAUAUCAAGUGGAACACCAGUGGCGAAGGCGAGUCCCUGGACAACUCCUGACACUGAGGCACGAAAGCUAGGGGAGCAAACAGG